AUGGCUUCUUGGCCUUUUGACUAAAGUCAAGUGUAGUAUCUGUUCUUACCAGUUUAGUAUCUGAUAUGAUGAGAGGACUUUGCAUUAAGUGGCUUUUUGGCACUAGGAGUUGGAACCAGAGCUUGCUCCUUUUGUUUUGGACUUGAUGACCUUAAAGAUCUUUU
Molecule: small nuclear RNA, 164 nt
Organism: Melopsittacus undulatus (budgerigar)
Lineage: Eukaryota; Metazoa; Chordata; Aves; Psittaciformes; Psittaculidae
Gene: U2
Rfam family: U2 spliceosomal RNA
About the family: U2 is a small nuclear RNA (snRNA) component of the spliceosome (involved in pre-mRNA splicing). Complementary binding between U2 snRNA (in an area lying towards the 5' end but 3' to hairpin I) and the branchpoint sequence (BPS) of the intron results the bulging out of an unpaired adenosine, on the BPS, which initiates a nucleophilic attack at the intronic 5' splice site, thus starting the first of two transesterification reactions that mediate splicing.
Source: Ensembl